UACGAAGGGGGCUAGCGUUGCUCGGAAUCACUGGGCGUAAAGCGCACGUAGGCGGCUUGUUAAGUCAGGGGUGAAAUCCUGGAGCUCAACUCCAGAACUGCCUUUGAUACUGGCGAGCUUGAGUUCGGGAGAGGUGAGUGGAACUGCGAGUGUAGAGGUGAAAUUCGUAGAUAUUCGCAAGAACACCAGUGACGAAGGCGGCUCACUGGCCCGAUACUGACGCUGAGGUGCGAAAGCGUGGGGAGCAAACAGG
This 253-nucleotide ribosomal RNA is filed under the name uncultured bacterium. Its description in RNAcentral is "partial 16S ribosomal RNA". It matches the Rfam family "Bacterial small subunit ribosomal RNA", at positions 524 to 776 of the family's 1533-position model. The record is from RNAcentral.